AACGAACGCUGGCGGCAUGCCUAACACAUGCAAGUCGAACGAGACCUUCGGGUCUAGUGGCGCACGGGUGCGUAACGCGUGGGAACCUUCCCUUAUGUUCGGAAUAACUCCCCGAAAGGGGUGCUAAUACCGGAUAAUGUCUUCGGACCAAAGAUUUAUCGCCUUUGGAUGGGCCCGCGUUGGAUUAGCUAGUUGGUAGGGUAAAAGCCUACCAAGGCGACGAUCCAUAGCUGGUCUGAGAGGAUGAUCAGCCACACUGGGACUGAGACACGGCCCAGACUCCUACGGGAGGCAGCAGUGGGGAAUAUUGGACAGUGGGCGAAAGCCUGAUCCAGCAAUGCCGCGUGAGUGAUGAAGGCCUUAGGGUUGUAAAGCUCUUUUACCCGGGAUGAUAAUGACAGUACCGGGAGAAUAAGCUCCGGCUAACUCCGUG
Molecule: ribosomal RNA, 433 nt
Filed under: uncultured bacterium
Lineage: Bacteria
Description: partial 16S ribosomal RNA
Rfam family: Bacterial small subunit ribosomal RNA
Source: RNAcentral